UACGGGGGGGGCAAGCGUUGUUCGGAAUUACUGGGCGUAAAGGGCUCGUAGGUGGCCAACUAAGUCAGACGUGAAAUCCCCAGGCUUAACCUGGGAACUGCGUCUGAUACUGGAUGGCUUGAAUUUGGGAGAGGGAUGCAGAAUUCCAGGUGUAGCGGUGAAAUGCGUAGAUAUCUGGAGGAAUACCGGUGGCGAAGGCGGCAUCCUGGACCGAGAUUGACACUGAGGCGCGAAAGCCAGGGGAGCAAACGGG
RNAcentral lists this ribosomal RNA (253 nucleotides) under uncultured bacterium. Its description in RNAcentral is "partial 16S ribosomal RNA". It matches the Rfam family "Bacterial small subunit ribosomal RNA", at positions 524 to 776 of the family's 1533-position model. The record is from RNAcentral.